This 18-nucleotide ribosomal RNA is filed under the name Hirsutella vermicola. RNAcentral's name for it is "partial 18S ribosomal RNA". The record is from RNAcentral. Lineage: Eukaryota; Fungi; Ascomycota; Sordariomycetes; Hypocreales; Ophiocordycipitaceae.
AUUGCGGAGGGAUCAUUA